RNAcentral lists this ribosomal RNA (501 nucleotides) under uncultured bacterium. RNAcentral's name for it is "partial 16S ribosomal RNA". It matches the Rfam family "Bacterial small subunit ribosomal RNA", at positions 30 to 523 of the family's 1533-position model. The record is from RNAcentral.
AUUGAACGCUGGCGGCAUGCCUUACACAUGCAAGUCGAACGGCAGCACGGGUGCUUGCACCUGGUGGCGAGUGGCGAACGGGUGAGUAAUACAUCGGAACGUACCUUAUCGUGGGGGAUAACGCAGCGAAAGUUGCGCUAAUACCGCAUACGCCCUGAGGGGGAAAGCGGGGGACCGUAAGGCCUCGCGCGAUUAGAGCGGCCGAUGUCUGAUUAGCUUGUUGGUGAGGUAAAAGCUCACCAAGGCGAGGAUCAGUAGCUGGUCUGAGAGGACGAUCAGCCACGCUGGGACUGGGACACGGCCCAGACUCCUACGGGAGGCAGCAGUGGGGAAUUUUGGACAAUGGGGGCAACCCUGAUCCAGCAAUGCCGCGUGAGUGAAGAAGGCCUUCGGGUUGUAAAGCUCUUUUGUCAGGGAAGAAACAGCAGCUCUAACACAGUCUGCGAAUGACGGUACCUGAAGAAUAAGCACCGGCUAACUACGUGCCAGCAGCCGCCGUAA